RNAcentral lists this ribosomal RNA (301 nucleotides) under uncultured bacterium. Its description in RNAcentral is "partial 16S ribosomal RNA". It matches the Rfam family "Bacterial small subunit ribosomal RNA", at positions 509 to 807 of the family's 1533-position model. The record is from RNAcentral.
CAGUCGCCACGGUAAGACAGAGGAUGCAAGCGUUAUCCGGAAUGAUUGGGCGUAAAAUGUCUGUAGGUGGCUUUUCAAGUCCGCCGUCAAAUCCCAGGGCUCAACCCUGGACAGGCGGUGGAAACUACCAAGCUAGAGUACGGUAGGGGCAGAGGGAAUUUCCGGUGGAGCGGUGAAAUGCGUUGAGAUCGAAAAGAACACCAACGACGAAAGCACUCUGCUGGGUCGACACUGACACUGAGAGACGAAAGCUAGGGGAGCAAAUGGGAUUAGAUACCCGCGUAGUCCCUGUCUCUUAUAC